AGCUGGAUGGGUGAAGUGUUCCCUCAGUUCACAUAGACCAGGCUUCCUCUUUAGAGGCAUAAGCUGUAAAACAGGAGAGUCUGUUUUAAGAGGAUCUGUUUGAAGUUUAAUGUAACUGAAGUCCAUGCACCUGAAGCCAUUAAUUGAUAUAAGUGAAGUAAGUCUUUGGGUUUCCGGUAGCUCUGACUCAGAUUCUGCUUGCCUCUUCUCCAUGAGAUUACCAAGGCAUCAGGGCAGAGACUCCCUGAGGAUGAGUGGAUCUGGUUCAGAACAUCUGUGAACACAGAGGGAGUGGAAACUUCACUUUCAACAUCAUCAGCCAACUUCCCUCCCAUUACAAUUCUAUCUCAAGAUCAAGGUCAUGCAACAAAACCAGCAGUGGCCACAUCCACUACUCCUACAGUUCCGUUUCAGAGGCCAUCGGAGCUCUACAUCUAUUAUUUACUACCGAUAUCCACAUCAAGCCUCCCUCCCUUGCUCUUCAUGAAAUGCAUCCACGAUGGGACAUUGAUCUCAUUAUUCUGUGAGGAUCUGGUUGUUUGUCUGCAUCUUUCUCUACAUCUGGGAUCUGAAAUUUUCUUAUUGGAUAACGAAUCCCCAUCACAUACACACAUGAUAAAUAUUUGUUUAAUGGAAAAACAAAUGCAUGAGAGUGGCAUGAUGAAAACAGGUGAGUCUGGAUUAAAGCAAUUGGUCAUCUGUUUGGUCCAAUUCCCAGCAACCCAGGUUUGCAAAAGUGUGUGUUGCAAGAGCUGCUCUUGCUAUGAAAUGAUGCCAUGAAUGUAUAACCUGUUACUUACUUUAGAAUCCUUUUUACUUAAAAAAUAAUCUGACAAUGUCCAUUUCAAUACGUGGUUUUAAUGACAUGACCCCCUAACUACACUUUCUGAUCUGCAAAUUCCUGUUCUCAUGUAUUGUAUGGUUUUACAAACUGCACCUGUUUGAAAUGAACACAAAGCAAGAAACUGUUUAUGCAGAAAAACCAAGUGCUCUGCAUUCUCCAGUUCCUCAAGGAGAAUGUUUAUGUGGUUUACCUUGCGAAGCCAAAGGUCUUUUGCAGCACUUAUGCACCUGAAGGAAGCCCUGAGGGAUGGCAGAGUUAGCCUUCUGGUGGGUGAAGGUGCCAUGUGUCUUGUCUAUUUUAUCUCCUUCACCCACUACCUACCUCCUCCACCACCCC
Molecule: long non-coding RNA, 1180 nt
Filed under: Homo sapiens (human)
Lineage: Eukaryota; Metazoa; Chordata; Mammalia; Primates; Hominidae
Description: HSALNT0347124
Source: RNAcentral